RNAcentral lists this ribosomal RNA (492 nucleotides) under uncultured bacterium. RNAcentral describes it as "partial 16S ribosomal RNA". It matches the Rfam family "Bacterial small subunit ribosomal RNA", at positions 29 to 507 of the family's 1533-position model. The record is from RNAcentral.
AGUGAACGCUGGCGGUAGGCCUAACACAUGCAAGUCGAACGGCAGCACAGUAAGAGCUUGCUCUUACGGGUGGCGAGUGGCGGACGGGUGAGGAAUACAUCGGGAUCUACUUUUUCGUGGGGGAUAACGUAGGGAAACUUACGCUAAUACCGCAUACGACCUACGGGUGAAAGCAGGGGAUCUUCGGACCUUGCGCGAUUGAAUGAGCCGAUGUCGGAUUAGCUAGUUGGUGGGGUAAAGGCCCACCAAGGCGACGAUCCGUAGCUUGUCUGAGAGGAGGAUCGGCCACACUGGAACUGAGACACGGUCCAGACGCCUACGGGAGGCAGCAGUGGGGAAUAUUGGACAAUGGGCGCAAGCCUGAUCCAGCCAUACCGCGUGGGUGAAGAAGGCCUUCGGGUUGUAAAGCCCUUUUGUUGGGAAAGAAAAGCAGCAGGUUAAUACCCCGCUGUUCUGACGGUACCCAAAGAAUAAGCACCGGCUAACUUCGUG